RNAcentral lists this ribosomal RNA (1958 nucleotides) under human gut metagenome. Its description in RNAcentral is "bacterial LSU rRNA". It matches the Rfam family "Bacterial large subunit ribosomal RNA", at positions 1 to 1973 of the family's 2925-position model. The record is from RNAcentral.
GAAAGUAAAUAAGGGCGCAUGGCGGAUGCCUUGGCUCUCGGAGGCGAUGAAGGACGUGAUAAGCUGCGAUAAGCUUCGGGUAGGUGCAAAUGACCUUUGAUCCGAAGAUUUCCGAAUGGGACAACCCGGCAUUCUGAAGGAAUGUCAUCCAACUUGGUUGGAGGCUAACGCAGGGAACUGAAACAUCUUAGUACCUGCAGGAAAAGAAAAUAAAUAAUGAUUCCCCUAGUAGUGGCGAGCGAACGGGGAUUAGCCCAAACCACCCAUGUUACGGCAUGUGUGGGGUUGUAGGACCACGCUCUCGCAAGACAGUUAUUGAGAAGAAACGACUGGAAAGUCGUGCCAUAGACGGUGAUAGCCCGGUAUUCUAAGGUAACCGAAGCGUAGUGGUAUCCUGAGUAGCGCGGAGCACGAGGAAUUCUGCGUGAAUCAGCCGGGACCAUCCGGUAAGGCUAAAUACUCCCGAGAGACCGAUAGCGAACCAGUACUGUGAAGGAAAGGUGAAAAGCACUUCGAAUAGAAGAGUGAAAUAGUCCCUGAAACCAUGCGCCUACAAGCGGUCGGAGCAGCUUCAGCUGUGACGGCGUGCCUUUUGCAUAAUGAACCUACGAGUUACUUUUUCCGGCAAGGUUAAGCAUCUUGAGAUGUGGAUCCGAAGCGAAAGCGAGUCUGAACAGGGCGGAUAGUCGGAAGGAGUAGACGCGAAACCAAGUGAUCUACCCUUGGGCAGGUUGAAGGUUAGGUAACACUAACUGGAGGACCGAACCGAUAAGCGUUGAAAAGCUUCCGGAUGACCUGAGGGUGGGGGUGAAAGGCUAAUCAAACUUGGAGAUAGCUCGUACUCCCCGAAAUGCAUUUAGGUGCAGCCUUGAGAGUUACUAAUGUGAGGUAGAGCGACUGAUAAGAUGCGAGGGCUUCACCGCCUAUCAAGUCUUGAUAAACUCCGAAUGCGCAUUAGUUCUAUCUCAGGAGUGAGGGCAUGGGUGCUAAGGUCCAUGUCCUAAAGGAGAAGAAUCCAGACCAUCAGCUAAGGUCCCCAAAUAAACACUAAGUUGAACUAACGAAGUCAGAUUGCUAAGACAGCUAGGAUGUUGGCUUGGAAGCAGCCAUUCAUUUAAAGAGUGCGUAACAGCUCACUAGUCGAGGAGUUUGGCGUGGAUAAUAAUCGGGCAUAAGUGUUUUACCGAAGCUAUGGGAUCCUAACGGAUCGGUAGGGGAGCAUUCCACUCAGCGUUGAAGGCGAAGCGUGAGCUUUACUGGAGCGUGUGGAAAAGCAAAUGUAGGUAUAAGUAACGAUAAAGGGGGUGAGAAACCCCCUCGCCGCAAGACUAAGGUUUCCUGAUCAACGCUAAUCGGAUCAGGGUUAGUCGGGUCCUAAGGCUCAGCCGAACGGUGAGGCCGAUGGCAGAACAGGUUAAUAUUCCUGUACUACCUAUAGGAGUGAUGUGGAGACGGAGGAGUGACAACGCCGCGGACUGACGGAAUAGUCCGUUAAAGGGUGUAGAUGUUGAUUAUCCCAGGCAAAUCCGGGAUAAGAGUCGAACCUGACAGUAUACCAAUUUCCUCGGAAAACGGUAAUAGUGCGUGUAAACAUACUCCCAAGAAAAUCCGCUAAACUUAAUCUUAUAGGUACCCGUACCGUAAACGGACACACGUAGUCGGGUUGAAUAUACUCAGGCGCUUGAGUGAAUCACGGUUAAGGAACUAGGCAAAUUGACCCUGUAACUUCGGGAUAAAGGGUCCCUACCCGGUGACGGGAGGGCGCAGAGAAUAGGUCCAGGCAACUGUUUAACAAAAACACAGGGCUGUGCAAAAUUGAAAGAUCACGUAUACAGCCUGACACCUGCCCGGUGCUGGAAGGUUAAGAGGAGAUGUCAUCGCAAGAGAAGCAUUGAAUUGAAGCCCCAGUAAACGGCGGCCGUAACUAUAACGGUCCUAAGGUAGCGAAAUUCCUUGUC